GACGAACGCUGGCGGCGUGCUUAACACAUGCAAGUCGAACGGAAAGGCUCCAGCUUGCUGGAGUACUCGAGUGGCGAACGGGUGAGUAACACGUGGGUAAUCUGCCCUGCACUCUGGGAUAAGCCUGGGAAACUGGGUCUAAUACUGGAUAUGACCUUUCUCCUUAUGGGGUUUGGUGGAAAGUUUUUCGGUGUAGGAUGAGCCCGCGGCCUAUCAGCUUGUUGGUGGGGUGAUGGCCUACCAAGGCGACGACGGGUAGCCGGCCUGAGAGGGUGAUCGGCCAAAUUGGGACUGAGAUACGGCCCAGACCCCUAGGGGAGGCAGCGGGGGGGAAUAUUGCACAAGGGGGGGAAGCCUGAUGCAGCGACGCCGCGUGGGGGAUGACGGCCUUCGGGUUGUAACCCGUUUUCAGGGGGGACGAAGGGUAAGUGACGGUACCUGCAGAAGAAGCCCCGGCUAAAUAUGU
Molecule: ribosomal RNA, 466 nt
Filed under: uncultured bacterium
Lineage: Bacteria
Description: partial 16S ribosomal RNA
Rfam family: Bacterial small subunit ribosomal RNA
Source: RNAcentral